This is a long non-coding RNA of Cyprinus carpio carpio, 1899 nucleotides long. NCBI's taxonomy places the organism in Eukaryota, Metazoa, Chordata, Actinopteri, Cypriniformes, Cyprinidae. The record is from Ensembl.
UGGGGUUUUCCGUGUUAUAACUCGAUGAAGUUACGAGCGAAAAUGCUACAUGACAGCUACCUUACAUUUUUUUUUUUUUUUACUAAACUACAUGCCACCAGUGCAGUUUUAUGUGUUAUAAAUUACUGAGGAAUAUCUUUAGAUAUAAAUGACGGAUUCUUAUGGGCUGCGUCGGAUGAUAUCAUUUAUGAUGAAAUGAUGAUAUCAUUUACUCCAUUUAGCAGCGCGUCAUGGCAACAAAAUAACGUUAAGCCAACAACAAAAAUACAAAGAGGCGACUUGAUAAAUUCACUGAAUUAGUUCCUUCGCUCUAACAGUCUACAAACCGAGACAGAUGGCAUGUAAGGCUGUUGCCCACCGGAGUGGCUUGCGAAACAACAGGAAUUUCAGGGAGGUAAUUUUUACAAGGUUCAGCAAAACUAGAGAGAGAACUUGCAUUGUUUUUGCAGUCUGCGAUUCCAUAACCUUGACCAACAUCGAAAUGAGGAUAAUUAUUACUACUGUUAUUCUUCUGUUUUGUGAGGAAUUUCUGAACUGCAACCAUAACAAAGACAGUGAAGUCUGGAAAGACUUUCACUGGAGAGUUAGACUUUGAACCCUGACAGCAGCUGACUUCACCUCAGUAAGGCUAUGCAACUCUGUUGUGUAACACUUAACUGACAAUCUGUACUCACAAAAAAAUUUCUAUAUAUAUUUUUUUCUGAACUGUGGAUUACUAUGCUGUUUAGAUGAAGAAAAUUUAUGGACUUUGCUUGCCUUAAAAUGGACACCAGCUUGGUAAGUGCAUUUUACUGAACAUUUGACCCAUGGGUCGGGAACCUAUGGCUCGCGAGCCACACCUGGCUCUUUGACAAAAAUCAUGUGGCUCGCCAGAUCUCUCACCCUUUACCAACAAAUGAUCCAUUACAAAAAUAACAGGACUGAAACAUAUACUUUGUUUUAUAGAAGAUGGUGUUCUCCUGUGCCAAGAACCAGUAUAAAACAUUUCGCCAGUUACUUUCGCUUUCAGUGUGUGGGACUAUUAGUAUUAAUAAAGGAACAUGAAUGAAUGAGACAGUAAAGAGCGGGACAUGCUUGAUAUUAAAAAGAUGGGCAGAAUUAAUUAAACUUAAAGCCACGAAACAGAACUCAAUCCGCUUCUGACUAGAUGUUGUCUCUCUCUCUCGCUCUCUGUCUCUCACACACACACACACACACACACACACACACACACACACACACACACACACACACACACACACACACACACACACACACACACAGAGACACAGACAGACAGAGAAUUCUCAAGAGAAUUCAUCCCCCUGUAAAUCAACCUCAAAGUAAAAGCCCUGCACAAUUUAUAAUGGAUAGCUGCAUAUUUGUGUGUUUUAGUUUCCAUUGUCCUAAUAAAGUUACUAUUAAAACGUUAUUGGAAAAAAAAGCAUUUUAUAUAAUAUUAAGCUUUAUAUACAUAUGGUGGAAUGGUUCAACUUUAUCACGGUUCAGUUUGUAUCACGGUUUUAUAGUCACGGUUUCGGUAUGGUGUGUGCUGUGUUUAUGGAAAAAAACAAACAGUUUAUGGACAGAAAACAUAUGUGAUAUAUGAUAUGUGAGAUGAUCUUUCUGGCACAUGAUUAGCUGCACCAGUAGUUAGACAGUGUUAAAUUCUGAUGUUAAUAUUGUAACAGCUGUAACCUCAUGUGCAUUGGGGAAUUCCAAUAUUUGAAGAGAAUAUCUGUUUCAGUACUAACGCCUGUGAUAUUCCUUGCAUGAAUGAUAUAUUAAGCAUGUAUGUGGGGUCACGAGAAUAGUACUAUGCCACUAAAAUUGCAAUCAACAAAGUAAACUAUUUAAAAGUAAACUAUUUAAAAGAAAUUAAAAGUAAUUUCUACAUAUACUAAUAUAUUUACAUUUCAA